Molecule: long non-coding RNA, 174 nt
Filed under: Melopsittacus undulatus (budgerigar)
Lineage: Eukaryota; Metazoa; Chordata; Aves; Psittaciformes; Psittaculidae
Description: lncRNA (ENSMUNG00000002839.2)
Source: RNAcentral
UGAAUACAGGGGCAGACAUCUGAUCACGCUGAACCCAGAGGCAGGCUUGGUGAAUUUUGGAGCUGCCCAUGUGCCAGUGUCAUUGUACUUGAUUAACAAGAGACACUACUGCAAGAGCAUCUUUUGGGACUGUUCAAUUUAAGAAGAUGAGGAUGUGCUCUGUAUGAUAAAGAC